CGCUGCCUGAUGCACACGCGUCCAGCUUUGCUGGGCCAAUGGUGGCGCUUGCUCCAAUUUCUGCCUCCCUUUUUUCGCCAAUCACCGUGCAGCGACUGCUCAUUUCUUACCAAUAGAAUAUUCGCUGCUCUAUUUCCUGCCAAUCAAACGCCGCACCGGCUCUUCCAUUUCUGGCCACUCAUGUCAUCCAGUGCGGUCUGUCAUCUCUACGAAUCACGGAUCCCAGGUAGGCUAGGACAUUUUUUCUAUUAAUAAUGAAUUAUUAAGUUUAUUUAGUUUAGUAAUUAGUUACAUUUCUCUAACUAAGACUAUGGGACAGUGGUGGUAUGCUGCAGCAUUUGUGAGUGUCAUUAACUAGCAUUAGUGGUAGUAUAACUGUUAACGUAAGGUAAAUGAUGUUGUUGACAUUAGCUUGCUAACAUUAGAACCAGUCUGGAUGGUUAGAACUAGCUAACAUUAACGUUAGACAGCUUCUUUUUGCUCUGUCUCGCCUUCUCACAUUUUCUCACAAUUUGCCAGACUGUCAGAUAUUUAACGUUAGCUCAACAACGUGUGAGUGAGUCAUAUCACAAUUUACGAUUGCGAAGUUGUGAUAGCGUUAUAGGCCUAUCUAUCAUGUUAGGAUAGUUUACAAUGUUGACAGUCAUAUCAUAAUUGUAAUGGCAUCAAUGAAGAAAAGAAGACAUCAGGAAAGGAGUGGUAUACCAGACUUAAAAAGUAUGCCAACACAGGGACCUGACCCUAAGGUGAAAAAGUGGCACGACCUCUAUUAAAAGUGAUUAUUUAAAAGUGUAACACCAGCUCUCAAGGACACAGGUGUCACACCAUCAGGUCCAGGUCUCUUUCAAGCCCUGGAAAGUGCUUGAUAAACUGGUGAACUUCCAUUAGUGUGGCCCCCACCAACAGACAUCUUGCUGUCAUGUGUCAGGACCCAGCUACCUCCUCCAUCCAAGCUUUUGGACAUUGACCCCAUCUCCUGCAUCACCACUGGCCCGGUCUCCUCCUCAAUCACCACUGGCCUCACCGCCUCCUCCAUCACCACUGGCCCCGCCACCUUCUCCAUCGCCU
Molecule: long non-coding RNA, 1068 nt
Organism: Alosa sapidissima (American shad)
Lineage: Eukaryota; Metazoa; Chordata; Actinopteri; Clupeiformes; Clupeidae
Exons: 3
Source: RefSeq, a predicted model, not a curated record